UGCCUACGGGGCGCAGCAGUGAGGAAUAUUGGUCAAUGGGCGGAAGCCUGAACCAGCCAAGUCGCGUGAGGGAAUAAGGCCCUACGGGUCGUAAACCUCUUUUGCCGGGGAGCAAGGGCGGGGACGUGUCCCGGCCCGGAGAGUACCCGGAGAAAAAGCAUCGGCUAACUCCGUGCCAGCAGCCGCGGUAAUACGUAGGGGGCGAGCGUUAUCCGGAUUCACUGGGCGUAAAGGGAGCGCAGGCGGCACGGCAAGUCCGGUGUGAAAGCCCG
RNAcentral lists this ribosomal RNA (272 nucleotides) under uncultured bacterium. Its description in RNAcentral is "partial 16S ribosomal RNA". It matches the Rfam family "Bacterial small subunit ribosomal RNA", at positions 335 to 604 of the family's 1533-position model. The record is from RNAcentral.